AACCCGACUCCAUGAAGCUGGAUUCGCUAGUAAUCGCGCAUCAGCCACGGCGCGGUGAAUACCGUUCCCGGGCCUUGUACACACCGCCCGUCAAGCCAUGAAAGCCGGGGGUACCUGAAGUGCGUAACCGCGAGGAGCGCCCUAGGGUAAAACUGGUGAUUGGGGCUAAGUCGUAACAAGGUAAC
This 185-nucleotide ribosomal RNA is filed under the name uncultured bacterium. Its description in RNAcentral is "partial 16S ribosomal RNA". It matches the Rfam family "Bacterial small subunit ribosomal RNA", at positions 1309 to 1500 of the family's 1533-position model. The record is from RNAcentral.